RNAcentral lists this signal recognition particle RNA (269 nucleotides) under Oscillospiraceae bacterium. RNAcentral's name for it is "signal recognition particle sRNA large type". It matches the Rfam family "Bacterial large signal recognition particle RNA". Rfam says of the family: The signal recognition particle (SRP) is a universally conserved ribonucleoprotein involved in the co-translational targeting of proteins to membranes. Archaeal SRP consists of a 7S RNA and homologues of the eukaryotic SRP19 and SRP54 proteins. Lineage: Bacteria; Bacillati; Bacillota; Clostridia; Eubacteriales; Oscillospiraceae. The record is from RNAcentral.
UCACACUAACCGGGGACAUAGCGGAGCCUUGUACCUGCAAUCCGCUACAGCAGGGGCGAAUUCCCGUCUUGAGGGAUGCUUCUGUGCGGUCCGCAACCUAAAUUUUCCGUGUUGAGAUAUGAGUCUUGCGCAAUUGCAGCUCUCGAACCAUGUCAGGUGGGGAACCAAGCAGCAUUAAGGGAUGUCUUGUGAUGUGCCGCAGGGUAGCUUGUGUUGAGCGGAGUUUGGGAAAUGCGCGCAUAGAGGUUUUUCGAUUUUCGGGUGUGUGA